UAAAACCAGGUUCAGUAUCAGAACCAGGCCGAGGUGGGCAUCAGAAUCAGGUUUGGGUGGGGAUCAGAACCAGGUUCCGUAUCAGAACAAGUUUUAGGGGGGCAUUAAAACCAGGUUUAAUAUCAGAACCAGGUUUAAUAUCAGAACCAGGUUUAGGGGGAAAUCAGAACCAGGUUUAGUAUCAGAACCAGAUUUAGGGGGGCGUUAAAACCAGGUUUAGGUGGGGAUCAGAACCAGGUUUAGUAUCAGAACAAGUUUUAGCAUCAGAACCGGGUUUAAUAUCAGAACCAGGUUUAGGGGGCAUCAGAACCAGUUUUGGGGGGACCAGAACCAGUUUCUUCCCCCAGAGGUGCUGGGCACUGAACCAGGGAAUGGGCACAGCCCCAAGAGCACCAGGAGUGUCUGAGGCAGUGUUUGCUGCACUUUAAUCAUUAAAUUAUUCAUUAAUUAAUUACACUGAAACGUGGGAUGCCCUGGAGUGCUCCCCACCCAAUUCCCACUGGGAUUCACACCCUGCUCCAAAGCCUUCAAUGCCUGAAAAGCUUUUGGCACAGCCCAGGAGCUCAGGAUGGAGCUCCCAAAAAUCCUUCAAGAUAUUCCAGCUCUCCCAGGGACAAUCUGGAAUUUAAUAAUUUGGGGCUCCCAAAAAACCUCAAACCUAUUUCUGUUCUCCCAGGGACAAUCUGCUUCUGGAAUUCAAGAAUAUCCCAAAAAUUCCUGCUCUCCCAGGGAGAGAUCCAAGGAAAAUCUGACUCUGGAAUUCAAUUUGGAGUUCCCAAAAAUCCUUCAAAGCUAUUCCUGUUCUCCCAAGGA
Long non-coding RNA from Melozone crissalis (California towhee), 813 nucleotides. RefSeq lists it as uncharacterized. The transcript is spliced from 3 exons. Lineage: Eukaryota; Metazoa; Chordata; Aves; Passeriformes; Passerellidae. The record is from RefSeq and is a predicted model, not a curated record.